CCACCAAUUUAUUUUUUACUACCACUACCACUUUCGGAAUAAAAUUUUUUGACACUUUUAUCGAGGUUUCUUAUUUUAUUCAUAUUAUAAAUUAAACUAAAAAAUAUUCAAAAUGUACAAAAAUAAUAAAAAUAAAUAUUCAACAAUUAAUACACUAAUUAAAAACUAAAAGUAAGAGAUGGAACGACAAUACCAGAUUUUGGAAGUUUCUGAAAAUUGCGACUUUAGAAAACUUUCACUUGAUAUUUGUAAUCGCAAAAUUUAAAAAUAAAAUUGAGCACUUCAGAAGAUAAUUAGAAUAUUUGAGAG
RNAcentral lists this long non-coding RNA (309 nucleotides) under Capsicum annuum. Its description in RNAcentral is "long non-coding RNA (CANN_LNC021365)". Lineage: Eukaryota; Viridiplantae; Streptophyta; Magnoliopsida; Solanales; Solanaceae. The record is from RNAcentral.